RNAcentral lists this ribosomal RNA (496 nucleotides) under uncultured bacterium. RNAcentral describes it as "partial 16S ribosomal RNA". It matches the Rfam family "Bacterial small subunit ribosomal RNA", at positions 28 to 507 of the family's 1533-position model. The record is from RNAcentral.
GAUGAACGCUGGCGGCGUGCCUAAUACAUGCAAGUCGAGCGAACGGACGAGAAGCUUGCUUUUCUGAUGCUAGCGGCGGACGGGUGAGUAACACGUGGAUAACCUACCUAUCAGACUGGGAUAACUUCGGGAAACCGAGCUAAUACCGGAUAAUAUUUUGAACCGCAUGGUUCAAAAGUGAAAGACGGUCUUGCUGUCACUUAUAGAUGGAUCCGCGCUGCAUUAGCUAGUUGGUAAGGUAACGGCUUACCAAGGCAACGAUGCAUAGCCGACCUGAGAGGGUGAUCGGCCACCCUGGAACUGAGACAGCGUCCAUACUCCUACGGGAGGCAGCAGUAGGGAAUCUUCCGCAAUGGGCGAAAGCCUGACGGAGCAACGCCGCGUGAGUGAUGAAGGUCUUCGGAUCGUAAAACUCUGUUAUUAGGGAAGAACAUAUGUGUAAGUAACUGUGCACAUCUUGACGGUACCUAAUCAGAAAGCCACGGCUAACUACGUG